ACAUUGAACCUUCGGGGGAUUUGUUGGGCGGCGAGCGGCGGACGGGUGAGUAAUGCCUGGGAAAUUGCCCUGAUGUGGGGGAUAACCAUUGGAAACGAUGGCUAAUACCGCAUGAUAGCUUCGGCUCAAAGAGGGGGACCUUCGGGCCUCUCGCGUCAGGAUAUGCCCAGGUGGGAUUAGCUAGUUGGUGAGGUAAGGGCUCACCAAGGCGACGAUCCCUAGCUGGUCUGAGAGGAUGAUCAGCCACACUGGAACUGAGACACGGUCCAGACUCCUACGGGAGGCAGCAGUGGGGAAUAUUGCACAAUGGGCGCAAGCCUGAUGCAGCCAUGCCGCGUGUAUGAAGAAGGCCUUCGGGUUGUAAAGUACUUUCAGCAGUGAGGAAGGAGGUAUCGUUAAUAGCGGUAUCUUUUGACGUUAGCUGCAGAAGAAGCACCGGCUAACUCCGUGCCAGCAG
RNAcentral lists this ribosomal RNA (457 nucleotides) under Vibrio fluvialis. RNAcentral describes it as "bacterial SSU rRNA". It matches the Rfam family "Bacterial small subunit ribosomal RNA", at positions 64 to 514 of the family's 1533-position model. The record is from RNAcentral. Lineage: Bacteria; Pseudomonadati; Pseudomonadota; Gammaproteobacteria; Vibrionales; Vibrionaceae.